CUUAGUGCGGACGGGUGAGUAACGCGUGGGUAACCUGCCUUGCACUGGGGGAGUAACACUUAGAAAUAGGUGCUAAUACCGCAUAAGCGCACGGUCCUGCAUGGGACAGUGUGAAAAACUCCGGUGGUGCAAGAUGGACCCGCGUCUGAUUAGCUGGUUGGCGGGGUAAAGGCCCACCAAGGCGACGAUCAGUAGCCGGCCUGAGAGGGUGGACGGCCACAUUGGGACUGAGACACGGCCCAAACUCCUACGGAAGGCAGCAG
RNAcentral lists this ribosomal RNA (263 nucleotides) under uncultured bacterium. RNAcentral's name for it is "partial 16S ribosomal RNA". It matches the Rfam family "Bacterial small subunit ribosomal RNA", at positions 92 to 354 of the family's 1533-position model. The record is from RNAcentral.